AGGAUGAACGCUGGCGGUCUGCUUAACACAUGCAAGUCGAACGGGCGUAGCAAUACGUUAGUGGCGGACGGGUGAGUAACGCGUGAGAAUCUACCUUCAGGACGGAGACAACAGUUGGAAACGACUGCUAACCCCCGAUGUACCGAAAGGGCAAAUAUUUAUAGCCUGAAGAAGAGCUCGCGUCCGAUUAGCUAGUUGGAGAGGUAAAAGCUCACCAAGGCGACGAUCGGUAGCUGGUCUGAGAGGACGAUCAGCCACACUGGGACUGAGACACGGCCCAGACUCCUACGGGAGGCAGCAGUGGGGAAUUUCCGCAAUGGGCGAAAGCCUGACGGAGCAAGACCGCGUGGGGAAGAAGGCUCUUGGGUUGUAAACCCCCGUUUUUCUCUGGGAAGAACGCAAUGGACGGUACCAGAGGAAUCAGCAUCGGCUAACUCCGUGCCAGCAGCCGC
This 452-nucleotide ribosomal RNA is filed under the name uncultured bacterium. RNAcentral's name for it is "SSU rRNA". It matches the Rfam family "Bacterial small subunit ribosomal RNA", at positions 26 to 518 of the family's 1533-position model. The record is from RNAcentral.